RNAcentral lists this long non-coding RNA (384 nucleotides) under Rattus norvegicus (Norway rat). Its description in RNAcentral is "long non-coding RNA NONRATT005201". Lineage: Eukaryota; Metazoa; Chordata; Mammalia; Rodentia; Muridae. The record is from RNAcentral.
AACCCCUCCCCUUCCAUGUGCAGCUCUGGGCUCCUCGGCGGCUCUCUGUGGCAAUGUGAUUAAUAACACAGAGACAUCCUGCUUGUUGGAUUAUUAAUUUCCCGUCCUCUUUGCCUUAUUUUUUUUCUUGUACAUACUUCUGAUGCUUUUCCUCUGCCUGUUUGCUUUUUCUUUGCCCUUUGCAAAUCCUGGCCAUUCCUCCUUUUCCCUCCUGUAGCCCAUCCUCUUGCCCAUGGAGCUAGCUAAUCUUUAGCACGUAACACUGCCACCGGCCACUCAACUUUGUGCCUGCUUGCUUCAUACUUGGGUAGUCACAGCUCCUCUUGCCAGCUCUGCACACCAAGAGUGAACCGUGCAAAAAGACAGAAAGAGGAAAGAAAAAGG